AUCUGACACUUCCUUUGGAAGCUCUAGGGCAGAGAGUGAAAGAGUGGAUUUUGACGGGGGCCUUGCUUGGAGGUCAUUCACCCACCCCUGUCCUCACUCCAGCAACAGUGAUAACUCACUUCCUUCCUGCCUUUGUACACCCUUCUCCCCACCUGCUCACAGGUGGCUGGGGAGUUCAAGUACCACCCAGAGUGCUUUGCCUGUAUGAGCUGCAAGGUGAUCAUUGAGGAUGGGGAUGCAUAUGCACUGGUGCAGCAUGCCACCCUCUACUGUGGGAAGUGCCACAAUGAGGUAGUGCUGGCACCCAUGUUUGAGAGACUCUCCACAGAGUCUGUUCAGGAGCAGCUGCCCUACUCUGUCACGCUCAUCUCCAUGCCGGCCACCACUGAAGGCAGGCGGGGCUUCUCCGUGUCCGUGGAGAGUGCCUGCUCCAACUACGCCACCACUGUGCAAGUGAAAGAGGUCAACCGGAUGCACAUCAGUCCCAACAAUCGCAAUGCCAUCCACCCUGGGGACCGCAUCCUGGAGAUCAAUGGGACCCCCGUCCGCACACUUCGAGUGGAGGAGGUGGAGGAUGCAAUUAGCCAGACGAGCCAGACACUUCAGCUGUUGAUUGAACAUGACCCCGUCUCCCAACGCCUGGACCAGCUGCGGCUGGAGGCCCGGCUCGCUCCUCACAUGCAGAAUGCCGGACACCCCCACGCCCUCAGCACCCUGGACACCAAGGAGAAUCUGGAGGGGACACUGAGGAGACGUUCCCUGAGGCGCAGUAACAGUAUCUCCAAGUCCCCUGGCCCCAGCUCCCCAAAGGAGCCCCUGCUGUUCAGCCGUGACAUCAGCCGCUCAGAAUCCCUUCGUUGUUCCAGCAGCUAUUCACAGCAGAUCUUCCGGCCCUGUGACCUAAUCCAUGGGGAGGUCCUGGGGAAGGGCUUCUUUGGGCAGGCUAUCAAG
RNAcentral lists this small RNA (951 nucleotides) under Pan troglodytes (chimpanzee). RNAcentral's name for it is "retained intron". The record is from RNAcentral. Lineage: Eukaryota; Metazoa; Chordata; Mammalia; Primates; Hominidae.